RNAcentral lists this transfer RNA (73 nucleotides) under Candidatus Iainarchaeum sp. RNAcentral describes it as "tRNA-Trp". It matches the Rfam family "tRNA". Rfam says of the family: Transfer RNA (tRNA) molecules are approximately 80 nucleotides in length. Their secondary structure includes four short double-helical elements and three loops (D, anti-codon, and T loops). Further hydrogen bonds mediate the characteristic L-shaped molecular structure. tRNAs have two regions of fundamental functional importance: the anti-codon, which is responsible for specific mRNA codon recognition, and the 3' end, to which the tRNAs corresponding amino acid is attached (by aminoacyl-tRNA synthetases). tRNAs cope with the degeneracy of the genetic code in two manners: having more than one tRNA (with a specific anti-codon) for a particular amino acid; and 'wobble' base-pairing, i.e. permitting non-standard base-pairing at the 3rd anti-codon position. Lineage: Archaea; Nanobdellati; Candidatus Iainarchaeota; Candidatus Iainarchaeia; Candidatus Iainarchaeales; Candidatus Iainarchaeaceae. The record is from RNAcentral.
GGGGUCAUAGCAUAACCCGGUAGUGCGGCUGGCUCCAGACCAGCUGAUCGGGGUUCAAAUCCCCGUGACCCCA